AUAUAUCGGAACGUGUCCAAUAAUGGGGGAUAACGAGUCGAAAGAUUCGCUAAUACCGCAUACGCCCUACGGGGGAAAGCAGGGGAUCGUAAGACCUUGCGUUAAUGGAGCGGCCGAUAUCUGAUUAGCUUGUUGGUGAGGUAAAGGCUCACCAAGGCGACGAUCAGUAGCUGGUUUGAGAGAACGACCAGCCACACUGGAACUGAGACACGGUCCAGACUCCUACGGGAGGCAGCAGUGGGGAAUUUUGGACAAUGGGGGCAACCCUGAUCCAGCCAUUCCGCGUGAGUGAAGAAGGCCUUCGGGUUGUAAAGCUCUUUCGCAAGGGAAGAAAACUUAUGAUCGAAUAAAUCAUGAGGUUGACGGUACCUUGAUAAGAAGCACCGGCUAACUACGUGCCAGCAGCCGCGGUAAUACGUAGGGUGCGAGCGUUAAUCGGAAUUACUGGGCGUAAAGCGUGCGCAGGCGGUUUUGUAAGUCGGAUGUGAAAUCCCCGGGCUCAACCUGGGAACUGCGUUCGAAACUGCAAGGCUAGAGUGUGUCAGAGGGGGGUAGAAUUCCACGUGUAGCAGUGAAAUGCGUAGAGAUGUGGAGGAAUACCAAUGGCGAAGGCAGCCCCCUGGGAUAACACUGACGCUCAUGCACGAAAGCGUGGGGAGCAAACAGGAUUAGAUACCCUGGUAGUCCACGCCCUAAACGAUGUCNNCUAGUUGUUGGUAGAGUAAAAUCUAUGAGUAACGUAGCUAACGCGUGAAGUUGACCGCCUGGGGAGUACGGUCGCAAGANUAAAACUCAAAGGAAUUGACGGGG
RNAcentral lists this ribosomal RNA (810 nucleotides) under uncultured bacterium. RNAcentral's name for it is "bacterial SSU rRNA". It matches the Rfam family "Bacterial small subunit ribosomal RNA", at positions 113 to 918 of the family's 1533-position model. The record is from RNAcentral.